GAUGAAGAACGUAGCGAAAUGCGAUAAGUAAUGUGAAUUGCAGAAUUCAGUGAAUCAUCGAAUCUUUGAACGCACAUUGCGCCCAUUAGUAUUCUAGUGGGCAUGCCUGUUCGAGCGUCAUUAAGUCCACUUAAGCCCUGCUUAGUGUUGGGAGACUGCUCCAGCGGUGCUACCCUGUAGCUACCCUGCAGCUCCUCAAAGACAGCGGCGGAGUUGUGGUAUCCUCUGAGCUUAGUAACUUGUUCUAGCUUUCGAGUACACCACUUCCCCUGCCGUAAAACCCUUAAUUUUUAAUGGUUGACCUCGGAUCAGGUAGGAAUACCCGCUGAACUUAAGCAUAUCAAUAAUCGGAGGA
This 355-nucleotide unclassified non-coding RNA is filed under the name soil metagenome. RNAcentral's name for it is "partial contains 5.8S ribosomal RNA, internal transcribed spacer 2, and large subunit ribosomal RNA". The stretch from base 1 to 120 matches the Rfam family "5.8S ribosomal RNA", at positions 35 to 154 of the family's 154-position model. The record is from RNAcentral.